AUUGAACGCUGGCGGCAGGCCUAACACAUGCAAGUCGAGCGAGCGGCGGACGGGUGAGUAAUGUCUGGGGAACUGCCUGAUGGCGGGGGAUAACUACUGGAAACGGUAGCUAAUACCGCAUACCAUCAGAUGUGCCCAGAUGGGAUUAGGUAGUAGGUGGGGGAACGGCGAACCUAGGAGACUAUCCAUAGAUGGUCUGAGAGGAUGACAAGCCAACCUGGAACUAGGACACGGUCCAGACCCCUAAGGGAGGAGCAAGUGGGGAAUAUUGCGCAAUGGGGUCAACCCGUACGCAGCCAUGCCGCGGGAAUGAAGAAGGCCUUCGGGUUGUAAAGUUCUUUCGGUAUUGAGGCGUUACAUGCAGAAGAAGCACCGGCUAACUCCGUGCCAGCAGCCGCGGUAAUUC
This 406-nucleotide ribosomal RNA is filed under the name uncultured bacterium. Its description in RNAcentral is "partial 16S ribosomal RNA". It matches the Rfam family "Bacterial small subunit ribosomal RNA", at positions 30 to 526 of the family's 1533-position model. The record is from RNAcentral.